This 638-nucleotide ribosomal RNA is filed under the name uncultured Actinomycetes bacterium. RNAcentral's name for it is "bacterial SSU rRNA". It matches the Rfam family "Bacterial small subunit ribosomal RNA", at positions 135 to 790 of the family's 1533-position model. The record is from RNAcentral. Lineage: Bacteria; Bacillati; Actinomycetota; Actinomycetes.
UUACUGGGAUAGCCCGAGGAAACUCGGAUUAAUACCGGAUAUUCUUAUUUUUUCACAUGAAGUUUUAAGGAAAGGUCAGCCGAACUAAGAUGAGCUCGCGUUCUAUCAGCUAGUUGGUGGGGUAAAAGCCUACCAAGGCUACGACGGAUAGCUGGUCUGAGAGGACGAUCAGCCACACUGGGACUGAGACACGGCCCAGACUCCUACGGGAGGCUGCAGCAGGGAAUAUUGCGCAAUGAGCGAAAGCUUGACGCAGCGACACCGCGUGUGGGACGACGGUUCUAGGAUUGUAAACCACUUUCAGGAGGGAAGAAAAUGACGGUACCUCCACAAGAAGACCCGGCCAACUACGUGCCAGCAGCCGCGGUAAUACGUAGGGGUCAAGCGUUGUCCGGAUUUAUUGGGCGUAAAGAGCUCGUAGGCGGUUCAACAAGUCGGUCGUAAAAGUUUAGGGCUCAACCCUAAAAUGUCGAUCGAUACUGUUGUGACUAGGAUACGGUAGAGGUGAAUGGAAUUCCGAGUGUAGCGGUGAAAUGCGUAGAUAUUCGGAGGCACACCAAUUGCGAAGGCAGUGCACUGGACCGUGAGCGACGCUGAGGAGCGAAAGCUAGGGGAGCAAACAGGAUUAGAGACCCUGG